This 1238-nucleotide ribosomal RNA is filed under the name Fictibacillus barbaricus. RNAcentral describes it as "bacterial SSU rRNA". It matches the Rfam family "Bacterial small subunit ribosomal RNA", at positions 18 to 1244 of the family's 1533-position model. Lineage: Bacteria; Bacillati; Bacillota; Bacilli; Caryophanales; Fictibacillaceae. The record is from RNAcentral.
CAUGGCUCAGGAUGAACGCUGGCGGCGUGCCUAAUACAUGCAAGUCGAGCGAAUGAUGAGGAGCUUGUUCUCUGAUUUAGCGUGGCGGACGGCAGGAACACGUAAGUAAUCUGCCCGUAAGACGGGGAUAACUCCGGGAAACCGGGGCUAAUACCGGAUAAUAAGAAGAAACGCAUGUUUCUUUUUUGAAAGUCGGUUUCCGCUGACACUUACAGAUGAGCCCGCGGCGCAGCUAGUUGGUGAGGUAACGGCUCACCAAGGCGACGAUGCGUAGCCGACCUGAGAGGGUGAUCGGCCACACUGGGACUGAGACACGGCCCAGACUCCUACGGGAGGCAGCAGUAGGGAAUCUUCGGCAAUGGGCGAAAGCCUGACCGAGCAACGCCGCGUGAGCGAUGAAGGCCUUCGGGUCGUAAAGCUCUGUUGUUAGAGAAGAACAAGUACGAGAGUAACUGCUCGUACCUUGACGGUACCUAACCAGAAAGCCACGGCUAACUACGUGCCAGCAGCCGCGGUAAUACGUAGGUGGCAAGCGUUAUCCGGAAUUAUUGGGCGUAAAGCGCGCGCAGGCGGUCUCUUAAGUCUGAUGUGAAAGCCCACGGCUCAACCGUGGAGGGUCAUUGGAAACUGGGAGACUUGAGUGCAGGAGAGAAAAGUGGAAUUCCACGUGAAGCGGUGAAAUGCGUAGAGAUGUGGAGGAACACCAGUGGCGAAGGCGGCUUUUUGGCCUGUAACUGACGCUGAGGCGCGAAAGCGUGGGGAGCAAACAGGAUUAGAUACCCUGGUAGUCCACGCCGUAAACGAUGAGUGCUAGGUGUUGGGGGGUUCCACCCUCAGUGCUGAAGUUAACACAUUAAGCACUCCGCCUGGGGAGUACGACCGCAAGGUUGAAACUCAAAGGAAUUGACGGGGGCCCGCACAAGCAGUGGAGCAUGUGGUUUAAUUCGAAGCAACGCGAAGAACCUUACCAGGUCUUGACAUCCUCUGACCACUCUAGAGAUAGAGCUUUCCCCUUCGGGGGACAGAGUGACAGGUGGUGCAUGGUUGUCGUCACCACGUGUCGUGAGAUGUUGGGUUAAGUCCCGCAACGAGCGCAACCCUUGACCUUAGUUGCCAGCAUUCAGUUGGGCACUCUAAGGUGACUGCCGGUGACAAACCGGAGGAAGGUGGGGAUGACGUCAAAUCAUCAUGCCCCUUAUGACCUGGGCUACACACGUGCUACAAUGGAUGGUACAAAG